This 90-nucleotide non-coding RNA is filed under the name Burkholderia sp. 8Y. Its description in RNAcentral is "Glycine". It matches the Rfam family "Glycine riboswitch aptamer". From Rfam's summary of the family: This family represents the bacterial glycine riboswitch. Glycine riboswitches usually consist of two metabolite-binding aptamers domains with similar structures in tandem. The aptamers cooperatively bind glycine to regulate the expression of downstream genes. The record is from RNAcentral. Lineage: Bacteria; Pseudomonadati; Pseudomonadota; Betaproteobacteria; Burkholderiales; Burkholderiaceae.
UCGCGCAGCACGGGAGAGAUCGUCCAUGGCGACGACGCCGACGGAGCAACCGCCCCGGAAACUCUCAGGCAAAAGGACCGUGCAGCAAGA